Molecule: unclassified non-coding RNA, 4687 nt
Filed under: Mizuhopecten yessoensis (Yesso scallop)
Lineage: Eukaryota; Metazoa; Mollusca; Bivalvia; Pectinida; Pectinidae
Description: serine/threonine-protein phosphatase 4 regulatory subunit 4-like, transcript variant X4
Source: RNAcentral
AUGAUCAAUGGCUGAUCGGGUUGUCAAGUGAAGCCGUUUUCAGUGGACAGUAACAACCGGCAUUUCGAGCAUUUUCUCCUCCGUAAAGGGGGACGAAAUGGGAGUUAUGAUUUGUACAUAAUUGAGAAAUGUUGGUGUUUAAACGACAAGACAUUAUACUAACCAAAACCACGUAAUGGAUAAAACAACAACGUCGCUUGCAGAUGACCUGCAGGAUUUGCAACUCGAUCGACCGACUGAGGGUCUAAAGUCGACAGAAGAACUCGAAAAACUAACAGUAGAUGAACAACUCAGUGAUAUCGAGAGAGCUGUUUACCUGCUAAGCUCUGGCCAGGAAGUACAAAGAAUUAGUGUAAUCCACAACCUUCCCGACCUACUACGGGACACAGAGAGUCAUGAUGAGUGUAUGCGAAGGGUCGUACCCAAAGUGCGGGAGGUGCUUUACGUGGCCCAGACGGAGAUGCAGCUGGCAGCUUCGUCGGCCUUCCUACAGAUUCUACAGAAAAACCUCGUCCCCAUACAGAACUACACACAAACAUUCCUACAGACCAUACUCAACAGUGUGGACGCCAGAGACCCAGAUGUGGCCAGUGCCUGGUUAGAAACUCUACUGGACGUCAUUGACCUACUGCCCAAAGACAUCAUCAAGAAAGAGAUUUUGAACAUUGCCAUCGCUAAAGGCCAGCUGUCACAGACUGUCUAUUCCCGGCUCUCCUGCUGUAAAAUCCUCGGAAAGAUUGCCACCAAGUUUGAACCAUUUGUGAUUAAAAAAGAAAUCCUGCCGGUGGUACAGUCUCUGUGUCAGGAUGUUGAUUAUGAAGUGCGGGGGUGUAUGUGUCGACAGCUGGAUUGCGUGGCCCGGGGAUUAGGCCUUGAACCAACAAAAAGUGCAAUACUACCUGAACUGGUGGAACUAACGAAUGAUGAGGAGGGGUUCGUGAGAACAGCUGGUCUAGAAACCGUUGUCAGCAUACUAAGUCUGCUGGAUGAGGACACCUGCAAUAACACCAUUAUCCCGUUGGUAUGUAAGUUCUGUCAGCAGGCCAUGCAGAAUGAGGACAGUACCCUCCCGGUCGUAGCCAAGCAACUCGGCCGUCUCGCUCACGGACUACAAGUACAUCUGACCGACGAACAGAAGCAGUGGUUUGUAGACUACUACAGAAAGUUAUGUAAGGUCGGCCUUUCUCCUGAACGUGGCAAAAACACCAAGGAGGUGGAGUCGGACCAAUCCAAGGUCACAGACAUGCCACAAAAUGAAGAAGACGAUCAGUGUUUAGAAUGUAGGAAGAAUGCUGCCUUUAACUUUCCUGCGAUGUUUGUGUUUGUUGGCCCCAAGCACUUCAAGGUCGACUUGCUGGGCAUUUUCUCUAGUCUGUGUAAAGACCCCAACAGCCAGGUCAGAAAGACUGUGGCCAGUGGUUUCCACGAGGUAACCAAGUUGUUGGGGUCCCAGGUACAUAUACUACAACAUGAUCUCAUCAACUUGCUCAAGGAUGACUCUGUAGACGUUUUGCGUGGUAUUUUGACAAAUAUUGUUGAUAUUUUGGAUUCCUUCCUCGGUUCAUCCUCAAGCAAUCAUACUCUGUCCGAGGCCAAGAUGAACAGUCUAGGGGAGGUAAUACCAGCCAUCUUGGCGUCGGACGAGGUGGUGUCCAGUUUUAACAAUUGGAGAUUACAGGAAGAGCUGAUGACCAGUCUGGCCAGCUUGACUCAAUGUUGCUCGAAUGAGGUUCUCUAUACCAAAGUCAUACCUGUGCUCUUCAAUAAACUCAAAACAGCGCGAGCAUUACCUGUACGACAUACGUGUGCGAGGUCAUCGCUCAUCAUUAUCAGGACGCUCAAGAAACUGGAACAGAGGGAGGAACUCGUAUAUCGUCUCGUUACAGAGUUCUGCCAUGGGAGGAGCUGUCACCAGAGAAGCUUGUUCAUAGACAUUUGUAAAUUUGUGAUAGAACUAUAUUCUAAGACAUUUUUUAAGAAAUAUUUUUACGAAGUUGUGUUAGAACUGCACAAGGAUCCAGUGCCUAACAUUCGAUUACGAUUGUGUUCAUUACUUCCGCCCCUAAAAAGACUCAUCAAACUUCCGACGGACCGCAACCUGCUUCAGCAGCUGGAUCUGUGUGUACGGAAGCUGCUAGUGGCAGAGAAGGACAGGGACGUCCAGAAUGCCAUCAAAGUGGCUGUUGAAGAGUUAGAUAAAAUUCAUGUUCAAAUGGAAUCGCUAUCUCGAAGGAUGCUGUUUGAACAAGAUCUAGUGGACCAGAAAAAGGAAGAUGAGGAAAAACUGCUCAUAGAAUUAGAGGAAAGAGAUCAGAAGAGGGAAGAAGAAGCAGCAGAGAAAAAGAAGGGAGAAAAACGCAAUUCUGUGACCUCUGCUUUAGCGAAGAAGGGUGAUAACGGAAGUAAAAUUCCUGGACCACGUAAAGGUUCUAAGAAUUUAGCUGUAUCCGGUACGACGUCGCCGAAUACAUCUACUAAAGAUGUCCAGAACAGAAUUGGAAAAAAUAGCAUAGCCAAAUCAAAGUCCACAAACAGUUUGUCUCAGAUUCCUCGCCGAGGUAAGACAAUCGCAGAAAAUAUAGGAAAACCAGACUCACCCAAACCUAUUAGAAGCAAAAUACCGGCAGCCAAAGUCAAGCCUCAGCCUAACUAUGACUCAGGGAAGAAAGACAGUACCGUCUCUAAGUCUAUGCCAAACAAGGCCCUGCCUCGGCUGAGUCGUCUCCCCUUGUACAGCUCACAGCCAAAUCUCCAUUCCUCCCAGAGCAGUGGGGGCAAGUCCCCAAUCGGUCGAGCGUGUAAACCUUCUCUGGCCCCCAAACCUUCCGGGGGCGCUGGUCUGAAGAAGACACCGGUGUCCAGAUUGUCCAGACUACCACUGUACAACUCCAAUCCGGACUUGUGCUCAGAGAGGCUCAGGGAGGCCGGGCCCAUUAGGGGACAACCCAGAGCCCAGAGGGUCAGGCAGCAAGAUCGGCUCCGGUACCAAGGGAGCUGUAGCCCGCUCAGGAGCACUGCAGGCCCCCGGGAGUGCCGGAACUAGCAGGGGAUCGAUGACAGGCCUAGCCCCCACCUCGAACAACUCCGGGAGGCGGGGCUCCUUCGGCAAUGUCAGUAGUAGCGAGGCUGUGAAGACCACUAAAGGAAGUAAUGGUGCAGUUCCGAGUACAAAGGAGAAAAUAAACAGGAAGAAGUCGAAAUGACGAGGUCAUCGUCAGUUGAUGAAGACUUUAACCCAAUAAACUGACCAAUGUGUAUAAACAAUUGUAAUUGACAUGGAUUGGUCAGUUGGCCUAUCUAUCCAGGGCACUAGUACUGGUCAUACAAUACAGAGCACUGGUCAGCACUUCAAUGAUCAACUUGAAAAGGAAGGCCGUUGGGCCAAUUUUUAUGUACAAUUGAGUUGACAUGAAUUGGUCAGCCAGUCUGUCUUUACAGACCACUGGUCAGCUGAUACAGAACACUGACCAGUGAUUCAGGGGUCAACUUGAAGAGAAAGAUCGGUGAGCCAUUGUGUUUGGAGAGUUAUAAUUUACAUGGAUUGGUCAGUUGGCCUAUCUACAGGGCUCUGGUCAGUCUGAGGAGGAAGGCAGGAGAGACAUGUUCAGCCACCUUCAUCUGUUCAAGCCUACUGUUAACUUGUGCAAUUACUUUAUACAGAAGAGAUAGCAGAGAAUAUAAUGGUGUGACCAGAGAAAUUACGGUCAUCAAUACCGUGACUGAUAUCUGUAACGUGACUAUAACUGUAACGGACAAUGAUUGGCUAUCAGUUUAGUUACAAGUCCUACACCAGUAGCUGUCUUAAGAUGCCUAUAAAUGACCAGACUGUUAAAGCUUUUCUGAGUUAAGGAUAUUAAAGAAUGACUGGGGAAAUGUCAGUGUAUUUAAAUGAAAAACAGAGAGAAGAUUUACUUAACGGAAUGAUUGAAGAGUUAAUGUGAUGUGGCAGAAAUUCCUAGUGGUGAAACAUUACUGCUGAUACAUUGUACCACUUAGUACCAUUGUGUUAUAAGCUUCAGGUGAUCCGUGUUACUGACUCUGCUGUCGUACUCGGUAACGACUUGUGUUGUAAAGGUUCAGGUGGUCCGUGUUACUGACUCUGCUGUCAUACUCGGUACCAUUGUGUUAUAAAGGUUCAGGUGAUCCGUGAUACUGACUCUGCUGUCAUACUCGGUACCAUUGUGUUGUAAAGGUUCAGGUGGUCCGUGUUACUGACUCUGCUGUCGAACUCUGUACCAUUGUGUUAUAAAGGUUCAGGUGAUCCGUGAUACUGACUCUGCUGUCAUACUCGGUACCAUUGUGUUGUAAAGGUUCAGGUGGUCCGUGUUACUGACACUGCUGUCGUACUCGGUACCAUUGUGUUAUAAGCUUCAGGUGGUCCGUGUUACUGACUCUGCUGUCAUACUCGGUACCAUUGUGUUAUAAGCUUCAGGUGGUCCGUGCUACUGACUGCUGUCGUACUCGGUAACGACUUGUGUGUACAGUGACACUUGUGGUGUUCCUUUUUAGGAAGGAACCACAUGUGGUGCAGAUAGAUCUACAUGUGGUGCUUCAUUUUUACUUCUGCAAAUAAAUCGCUGUGAUGAACACAUGGUAACUUUCACCACACACAGGAGUUGAUUGAGAACAUCAUCUUACAAUUCCAUCACUCUAUCUCCUCAAACAAACAAAAAUGUAAAAAAAAAAA